RNAcentral lists this ribosomal RNA (255 nucleotides) under uncultured bacterium. Its description in RNAcentral is "partial 16S ribosomal RNA". It matches the Rfam family "Bacterial small subunit ribosomal RNA", at positions 524 to 776 of the family's 1533-position model. The record is from RNAcentral.
UACGUAGGGCGCAAGCGUUAUCCGGAAUUAUUGGGCGUAAAGAGCUCGUAGGCGGUGUGUCGCGUCGGCCGUGAAAAACCUGGGGCUCAACUCUGGGCGUGCGGUCGAUACGGGCAUCACUUGAGUUCGGCAGGGGAGACUGGAAUUCCUGGUGUAGCGGUGAAAUGCGCAGAUAUCAGGAAGAACACCCGUGGCUAAGGCGGCUCUCUAGUACGGUACUGACGCUGAGACGCGAAAGCGUGGGGAGCGAACAGG